Molecule: long non-coding RNA, 2492 nt
Filed under: Rhinopithecus bieti (black snub-nosed monkey)
Lineage: Eukaryota; Metazoa; Chordata; Mammalia; Primates; Cercopithecidae
Description: lncRNA (ENSRBIG00000045021.1)
Source: RNAcentral
GGCAGAGGGAGUGACAGCAGGGGUUCGGGCUGCUGUGGAGCCAGAAGCAGGGGGAAAGGGGAUGUCGGGCAGGGGUCUUUAGUGGAUGACUGGCUUUGAGAGCUUCUGGGUCGUCAUGUUUAGAAGGGGUGGAGUCCAGGUGAAGAGGGUGAGAACCACACCCUAGGGGAACAGGAGCUCCCCAGGGAGGUCCCACACCCUGAAGCCCCACCUACGCCUCGCCCCUGCACAGCCCCGCACUCUGCCAGCAGGGAGCGCACGCCCAGGUGCAAGGAGCUGGCACCUGGGCACACGCCUGGCCACACACCUGUGCAGAGCCGGUGGCAGGCCCUCCCGGCACAGGAAUGGCGCGCCCCCAGCUGCCGCCACUUCUGCUUUUGGUGCUGGUGCUGCCACUAAAAGCUAAUAAGAAUGACUCUAACAGUACUCCCUACACAGGUAUUACGACCUCAGAGUACAACAGUAUGGAGACAUCAUCUCUCAGCUCUCUGAUUUAUUCUCCCUUCACCCACAACACCCUCAGUUCAGGGGAACCCCCCAAAACCUACUCCAGCCCCCUGAGUUUGGAGACAGGCUCCAUGACCCACCUCAGCCCCUCAAGUUCAGGGGCAACCCCUACCAUGCAGCCUAGCCCCAGCUCCACAGAGUCAAGAAUGAUUCCCUCGUCCCCACAACCAGAGACAACCACGCACCCUAGUUCUGGUUCCCCCAAUGGAGAGCUCACCCCCUCUUCCCAUUCCACCCUCCCCAGUUCCGAAUCCCUGACCCCGCACUGGAGCCCCACUUCCCACAGCCCCGGAACGGAGCCCUUGACCUCCACUGACCAGACCUUGGAGCCCCCUGGCCCAGCUCCAGGUGACACUGGGUCCCCUGAGUUACACAGGAACCCGGCUGUGGUGGUGGUCGUGUGUUUGCUGGUGUCUCUUUUGCUCAUCGGGUCUGUGGUCAUGGCUGUGAGGUUCUGUCACCGGGAUGAGUCCACAUUUGAGAAACUGGAUGAGGUGUCCAUGGUAAGGUAAGGGCUUGGCUGAGGGCUCAGCCCCUGGGGGCCAAGGCAGGGUUGGGGGAGCCACCCUCCCAAGCAGGACCAGCCUGGGCUGCAGAGCCCGUUGGUGUCUGAAUGACUCCCUGUGUGUUCCUUCCUCAGGGAUCCAUGAAUGACAGAUUGUCCUUUGCCCACCACCUCCAGGAGUGAGCCCUGAGGAGCCAACAGAGAUGCGGGCGUGCAUGGGGCUGGAGUGCCUGGGGAGGAGCAGAACCUGAGGAAAUAAACACCCUACCAUUCAUCCAAGGCCUCCUGAGUUAUGGAUUCGUGUGACAAACAUUAGCUGAGCACCUACUAUGUGCUGGGCUCUGUGCUGGAGUCACAGUGGGGACCAUGUCUUUACUCUCAGGGGAGCCACAGACUCAAGGCGGGGACAGAUAAGAAUCAGGAGAUCACUUGGCUGGGCGUGGUGGUUCACACCUGUAUCCCAGCACUUCGGGAGGCUGAGGCGGGCAGAUCUCCUGACCUCAGGAGUUUGAGACCAGCCGGGCUAACAUGGCGAAACUCUGUCUCUACUAAAAAUACAAAAAUUAGCUGAGCAUGGUGGCGGGUGCCUGUAAUCUCAGCUACUCAGGAGGCUGAGGCAGAGAAUCUCUUCAACCCAGGAGGCAGAGGUUGCAGUGAGCCGAGAUCACCCCACUGUACUCCAGCCUGGGCAACAGAGCAAGACUCCAUCUAAAAAAAUAAAAAGAAAAAGAAUCAGGAGAUCACAUGAGAUCUUUGCAGGUGGCACGGAAGGCCAUGGAGUCACAGACUGAGACUGUGGCCAAACCACAAGGGCUGCAGUGGCCAAACCACAAGAGUUGUGGUGUCCAGGUUUGCUGAGAAGGUAGGGAGGCCUCUUUGAGGAUGUAACUUUUUUUUUCUUUGAGAUAGGAUCUUGCUCUGUUGCCCAGGCUGGAGUGCAAUGGUGCACUCUCGGCUCACUGCAGCCUCAACCUCCCAGGCUCAAGUGAUCCUCCUGCCUCAACCUCCUGAGUAGCUGGGACUACAGGGGGAUAGUAUGCCUGGCUAAUUAAAAAAAAAAAAAAAAUUGGGGGCCGGGCAUGGUGGCUUAUGCCUGUAAUCCUAGUACUUUGGAAGGCCAAGGUAGGUGGAUCAUUUGAGGUCAGGAGUUCAAGACCAGCCUGGCCAACAUGGUGAAACCCCAUCUUUACUAAAAAUACAAAAAUUGGCUGGUGUGGUGGUGGGCGCCUGUAAUCCCAGCUACUAGGGAGGAUGAGGCAGGAGAAUUGCUUGAGCCUGGGAGGCAGAGGUUGCGGUGAGCCGAGAUUGCACCACUGCACUCCAGUCGAGGCGACAGAGUGAGACUCUGUCUCAAAACAAACAAACAAAACUUGGGGGCUGGGCAUGGCGGCUUACCACUGUAAUCUCAGUACUUUGAGAAGUUGAGGUGGGCGAAUUGCUUGACCUUGGUAGUUUGAGACCAGAUGGGGCAACGUGGCAG